RNAcentral lists this transfer RNA (72 nucleotides) under Camelus bactrianus (Bactrian camel). It matches the Rfam family "tRNA". From Rfam's summary of the family: Transfer RNA (tRNA) molecules are approximately 80 nucleotides in length. Their secondary structure includes four short double-helical elements and three loops (D, anti-codon, and T loops). RNAcentral also lists the same sequence under 2 other names. The record is from Rfam by way of RNAcentral. Lineage: Eukaryota; Metazoa; Chordata; Mammalia; Artiodactyla; Camelidae.
GGAGGGUAUACUCAGUGGUAGAGUGCGUGUUUAGCAUGCACCAUGUCCUGGGUUCAAUCCCCAGAGCCUCCA